UGAAGUCAGGGGAAACCCUGAUGGAAGACCGAAACAGUUCUGACGUGCAAAUCGAUUGUCAGAAUUGAGUAUAGGGGCGAAAGACCAAUCGAACCAUCUAGUAGCUGGUUCCUUCCGAAGUUUCCCUCAGGAUAGCUGGUGCAUUUUAAUGUUAUAUAAAAUAAUCUUAUCUGGUAAAGCGAAUGAUUAGAGGCCUUAGGUCGAAACGAUCUUAACCUAUUCUCAAACUUUAAAUGGGUAAGAACCUUAACUUUCUGAUAUGAAGUUUAAGGUUAUGAUAUAAUGUGCCCAGUGGCCACUUUUGGUAAGCAGAACUGGCGCUGUGGAUGAACCAAACGUAAUGUUACGGUGCCCAAAUUAACAACUCAUGCAGAAACCAUGAAAGGCGUUGGUUGCUUAAAACAGCAGGACGGUGAUCAUGGAAGUCGAAAUCCGCUAAGGAGUGUGUAACAACUCACCUGCCGAAGCAACUAGCCCUUAAAAUGGAUGGCGCUUAAGUUGUAUACCUAUACAUUACCGCUAAAGUAGAUGAUUUAUAUUACUUGUGAUAUAAAUUUUGAAACUUUAGUGAGUAGGAAGGUACAAUGGUAUGCGUAGAAGUGUUUGGCGUAAGCCUUCAUGGAGCUGCCAUUGGCACAGAUCUUGGUGGUAGUAGCAAAUAAUCGAAUGAGACCUUGGAGGACUGAAGUGGAGAAGGGUUUCGUGUGAACAGUGGUUGAUCACGAGUUAGUCGGUCCUAAGUUCAAGGCGAAAGCCGAAAAUUUUCAAGUAAAAAAUCAGUGAGUAAUAUUGUCAAAUCUUUUAUGAUUUUUAAAUACUUGAAUAAUUUUGAACGAAAGGGAAUACGGUUCCAAUUCCGUAACCUGUUGAGUAUCCGUUUGUUAUUAAAUAUGGGCCUCGUGCUCAUCCUGGCAACAGGAACGACCAUAAAGAAGCCGUCGAGAGAUAUCGGAAGAGUUUUCUUUUCUGUUUUAUAGCCGUACUACCAUGGAAGUCUUUCGCAGAGAGAUAUGGUAGAUGGGCUAGAAGAGCAUGACAUAUACUGUUGUGUCGAUAUUUUCUCCUCGGACCUUGAAAAUUUAUGGUGGGACACGCAAACUUCUCAACAGGCCGUACCAAUAUCCGCAGCUGGUCUCCAAGGUGAAGAGUCUCUAGUCGAUAGAAUAAUGUAGGUAAGGGAAGUCGGCAAAUUAGAUCCGUAACUUCGGGAUAAGGAUUGGCUCUGAAGAUUGAGAUAGUCGGGCUUGAUUGGGAAACAAUAACAUGGUUUAUGUGCUCGUUCUGGUAAAUAGAGUUCUAUCAUUUAUGGUAGUUACUUGUUCCCCGGAUAGUUUAGUUACGUAGCCAAUUGUGGAACUUUCUUGCUAAAAUUUUUAAGAAUACUAAUUGGGUUAAACCAGUUAGUUCUUAUUAAUUAUAACGAUUAUCAAUUAACAAUCAAUUCAGAACUGGCACGGACUUGGGAAUCCGACUGUCUAAUUAAAACAAAGCAUUGUGAUGGCCCUAGCGGGUGUUGACACAAUGUGAUUUCUGCCCAGUGCUCUGAAUGUCAAAGUGAAGAAAUUCAAGUAAGCGCGGGUCAACGGCGGGAGUAACUAUGACUCUCUUAAGGUAGCCAAAUGCCUCGUCAUCUAAUUAGUGACGCGCAUGAAUGGAUUAACGAGAUUCCUACUGUCCCUAUCUACUAUCUAGCGAAACCACAGCCAAGGGAACGGCUUGGAAUAAUUAGCGGGGAAAGAAGACCCUUUUGAGCUUGACUCUAAUCUGGCAGUGUAAGGAGACAUAAGAGGUGUAGCAUAAGUGGGAGAUAUUAGAUUUCGGUUUGGUAUCGACAAUGAAAUACCACUACUCUUAUUGUUUCCUUACUUACUUGAUUAAAUGGAACGUGUAUCAUUUCCUAGCCAUUAUACGGAUAUAUUUAUUAUAUCUUAUGGUAUUGGGUUUUGAUGCAAGCUUCUUGAUCAAAGUAUCACGAGUUUGUUAUAUAAUCGCAAACAAAUUCUUUAAUGAGAAAAUGCAUUUAUGUAUUUUCAAUUUGAAAAUUUGGUAUAACUCCAAUUACUCAGGUAUGAUCCAAUUCAAGGACAUUGCCAGGUAGGGAGUUUGACUGGGGGGUACAUCUCUCAAAUAAUAACGGAGGUGUCCCAAGGCCAGCUCAGUGCGGACAGAAACCACACAUAGAGCAAAAGGGCAAAUGCUGACUUGAUCUCGGUGUUCAGUACACACAGGGACAGCAAAAGCUCGGCCUAUCGAUCCUUUUGGUUUAAAGAGUUUUUAACAAGAGGUGUCAGAAAAGUUACCAUAGGAUAACUGGCUUGUGGCGGCCAAGCGUUCAUAGCGACGUCGCUUUUUGAUCCUUCGAUGUCGGCUCUUCCUAUCAUUGUGAAGCAAAUUCACCAAGCGUUGGAUUGUUCACCAUGCAAGGGAACGUGAGCUGGUUUAGACCGUCGUGAGACAGGUUAGUUUUACCCUACUAAUGACAAAACGUUGUUGCGACAGCAUUCCUGCGUAGUACGAGAGGAACCGCAGGUACGGACCAAUGGCACAAUACUUGUUCGAGCGAACAGUGGUAUGACGCUACGUCCGUUGGAUUAUGCCUGAACGCCUCUAAGGUCGUAUCCGUGCUGGACUGCAAUGAUAAAUAAGGGGCAAUUUGCAUUGU
This 2662-nucleotide ribosomal RNA is filed under the name Drosophila pseudoobscura pseudoobscura. Its description in RNAcentral is "eukaryotic LSU rRNA". It matches the Rfam family "Eukaryotic large subunit ribosomal RNA", at positions 847 to 3185 of the family's 3401-position model. The record is from RNAcentral. Lineage: Eukaryota; Metazoa; Arthropoda; Insecta; Diptera; Drosophilidae.